AGCAGCCGCGGUAAUUCCAGCUCCAAUAGCGUAUAUUAAAGUUGUUGCAGUUAAAAAGCUCGUAGUUGAAUUUCGGGACCAAUCUGCCGGUCGUGCCUCCGGUACGCACUGGUUUUAUUGGUUUCUCCCUUCUGACGAACCAUGAUGUCAUUAAUUUGGUGUCAUGGGGAAUCAGGACUGUUACUUUGAAAAAAUUAGAGUGUUUAUAGCAGGCUCACGCUUGAAUACAUUAGCAUGGAAUAAUGAAAUAGGACGUUUGACCCUAUUUUGUUGGUUUCUAGGAUCGACGUAAUGAUUAAUAGGGAUAGUUGGGGGCAUUAGUAUUCAAUUGUCAGAGGUGAAAUUCUCGGAUUUAUCGAAGACUAACUACUGCGAAAGCAUUUGCCAAGGAUGUUUUCAUUAAUCAAGAACGAAAGUUAGGGGAUCGAAGACGAUCAGAUACCGUCGUAGUCUUAACCAUAAACUAUGCCGACUAGGGAUCGGAUGAUGUUAAUUUUUUUAAUGACUCAGUUCGCGCCUU
This 520-nucleotide ribosomal RNA is filed under the name uncultured Glomus. RNAcentral describes it as "SSU rRNA". It matches the Rfam family "Eukaryotic small subunit ribosomal RNA", at positions 569 to 1089 of the family's 1831-position model. The record is from RNAcentral. Lineage: Eukaryota; Fungi; Glomeromycota; Glomeromycetes; Glomerales; Glomeraceae.